ACUGAAUGAAUAUACGGAGGUACCUCUGGAUCAACUGUGAUACGAGUAGAGGUAGGAACUGUUGAUGCAGAUUCUGACUCUGUCACAACUGCGGUAAUAGUAGUGGGAAGCACAGAAGGCACUGCUGAAACUGGAACCCACUGCUUCUUUGGCUCCACAAACGUCACCUUGCCCUUAUCCUUAUCAGUCCUAGUAAUAGGGGGCCGAACAGGGGGGUGCGCAACAACUGCAGGAGGAGGAGGAGGAACCGUAGUACACUGAUCAUAAGAAUGACCCAAGUGUUUACAAGAAAAGCAAAAAAUUGGCCGCUUCUCAUAGAUAACUGUCUGCCAGAAGCCACGAUUACCAGCGCGCUCAAUCCAAACCCUGUCGGGCAACUUAUGCUCCAAAUUCACCUCAAUGCACACCCUUGCCUCACUAGGUCGUCUCAAGUCGGUGGUGGCCUCAUCAAUUCUCUAGGGCAUUCCUAUUGCCCCAGAUAAGGCGAAAAGGAACUCCUUCGCACGUAAAUGUACUGGAAGUAGAGGGAACGAUACCCAUACGGGAACUAUCGGAGUCUCUUGCUCAGGUGUAAAGUCACAUGUCCACUUAAGGACUCUCAUUGGACAACCGUCAAUAUACCAUGAAGGUUUAAGAAAAAACCUGCUGUAAUCCUCCUCAUGUGUAAGGUGUAUAAGAAUGUGUGUUGUGUCAAUCAAUCCCACCUCGAAACAACCAUGGAACCCAAACUUAGAAAAAAUCUCACGUACCUUCCUCAUGGUUGGCUUGCGAUGUGGAAAUUUCCCCACAAGUGUAUACUUGUAAGGAUCAGCGAGUGUAGCCUCCUCGGACUCAGUCAAAACUAUUGCCGGCUCACCCAUAUGUAUAAAGGGUUCUUUAGCAGCAAACCCAGCAGUGGAAGAGUCAUCUAUACCCUGUAUAACCGAUGCAAACGACUUUCAUGAACUCCGUUCAGCUUGAGACAGGCCCGGACGGCCAGAAACUGCAGUAGCAUAGGUCUUUCGGUCCUGAUUGAGCACUGUCUGGGCCUCAUGUGGAAAAACCGAUGAUGAAAUUGGGUUCGUAACAAAAUUCCCCACAUUCUGGUGAAGUGUCACCGGCGCGUGACCACCACGCGCCGGCCGUUGACCAGCGGCGAUUUUCCAAUGGUGUCAGAAAAUUAUGAUUUUUCCUAGGCAGAUGCGGAAUUUCAUGCUGAUCAUCACGGUAUGUUCCGUUUUCCGAAAUGAGUUCAGGAUUGGUCGAAAUCUGCGAUUUUUCGAGUGACUGGCCGGAACUUACGAUCGCCGGUAAGGGCGCGUCCGACGUCGGAAUUGGAUGUUUGUUUAUUCGAAGGUUCGCCUUUUCAUGGGUAAUCUGAUGGUCAGGCGCGUGUCCCUGUUUGAGCUCUGUGGAAGGGUUAAUUGAAAAAUCAGUUUUCGGCCCCUCGGGAUUCGAUCUGUCAAUUUCGGGCGAGUUGGACGAAAUCUCUACCACCCCCAGGGUUUUCGGCCCUUCUGGAAUCAUUGGUGAUGGUCCCAUAUCCAAAUUCUGAUCAGAAUUGGGUGUUUCGAUGACCUUGGGAUUCGUGCCAUGAUUUUUCAAACUCAGAUCUAUUGAGUUGGGGGAUGAAUCUGAUAUUGGUGUUAUAGGAGAUCUUUGGGUGGUUGUUGGUGAUGAUUUUCCACCACUUAGAGUGCUGCAAUCCGGUGGUUUUGGUGGUGGAUCAAGUUUGGUUGAGUUUUGGAGGUUUUCUCCCAUUCUAGAGAGAAGGGAGAGCGUUUUGGAGGUUGAGAAUGGUUUAGGGUUUAGGGUUUGGGGUUUUAGGGUUUAGGGUUUGGGGUUUGGGGUUUGGGGUUUCGGGUUUAGGGUUUCGGGUUUAGGGUUUAGGGUUUAGGGUUUAGGUUUAGGGUUUCGGGUUUCGGGUUUCGGGUUUCGGGUUUAGGGUUUAGGGUUUAGGGUUUAGGGGUUAGGGGUUAGGGGUUAGGGUUUAGGGUUUAGGGUUUAGGGUUUAGGGUUUAGGGUUUAGGGUUUAGGGUUUAGGGUUUAGGGUUUAGGGUUUAGGGUUUAGGGUUUAGGGUUUAGGGUUUAGGGUUUAGGGUUUAGGGUUUAGGGUUUAGGGUUUAGGGUUUAGGGUUUAGGGUUUAGGGUUUAGGGUUUAGGGUUUAGGGUUUAGGGUUUAGGGUUUAGGGUUUAGGGUUUAGGGUUUAGGGUUUAGGGGUAAAGCUAUCAUGGGAGAGAAGAAACACCUCCACACUCUGUUGCUUCACAUUCUGCUUCAUUGAUAUAACAGUAUUGCGCAUUGAAUAUGCAACACCAACACUCUAUAUAUCCUUUGCAGUUAAACUUUUUGCAUAGUUUUAGAUUUAUUUUUUCAUCAUACACUUCACUGCUUUUAAGGUUUUCAAGCAGCAUCCUGUCGUUGCAGUCAUUAGGAAUGAACAGAGACGAAAUGGUCACAAAGAAUAUAAUGAAAUGACCAAAAUUAUAUGAAGCCAUUGAUUAGAGAUGGGAGGGUUUUUGGUUUAGGGUUUAGGGUUUAGGGUUUAGGGUUUUUUUUUUUUUUUUUUUAACGCAAAUACCACUAGUGUGGUUUAUUUUAUAUAAUGAAAAGCGGGAAAACAAAUAGAGGAGGGGGGCAUGGACCUGACCUCCAGAAAAUGUAAAUUGUAACAAAUAUUUGAAGAUAAAAUGCAAUCACAGUAAACAAGACACGAACAAAAACUAAUGAUAGGUACUCAAGGGUAUUCCCGAGGGUAAAUCUUCGGGGGGUAGUACAUAGACAUUGAUCGAGUCAUGCGUCUGGUUUGAAACAUUUCUGGAUCAUAGUAGCUGUGGGAAUAGGAGCUAUGGAAGUAAUAAUAGGAGAAGUGGGUACCUCGAUAGGAGCAUUUGGAGUAGGCUCAGCAGCUGAAUGAAUAUACGGAGGUACCUCUGGAUCAACUGUGAUACGAGUAGAGGUAGGAACUGUUGAUGCAGAUUCUGACUCUGUCACAACUGCGGUAGUAGUAGUGGGAAGCACAGAAGGCACUGCUGAAACUGGAACCCACUGCUUCUUUGGCUCCACAAACGUCACCUUGCCCUUAUCCUUAUCAGUCCUAGUAAUAGGGGGCCGAACAGGGGGGUGCACAACAACUAUAGGAGGAGGAGGAGGAGGAACUGUAGUACACUGAUCAUAAGAAUGACCCAAGUGUUUACAAGAAAAGCAAAAAAUUGGCCGCUUCUCAUAGAUAACUGUCUACCAGAAGCCACGGUUACCAGCACGCUCAAUCCAAACCCUGUUGGGCAACUUAUGCUCCAAAUUCACCUCAAUGCACACCCUUGCCUCACUAGGUCGUCUCAAGUCGGUGAUGGCCUCAUCAAUUCUCAAGGGCAUUCCUAUUGCCCCAGAUAAGGCGAAAAGGAACCCCUUCGCACGUAAAUGUACUGGAAGCAGAGGGAACGAUACCCAUACGGGAACUAUCGGAGUCUCUUGCUCAGGUGUAAAGUCACAUGUCCACUUAAGGACUCUCAUCGGACAACCAUCAAUAUACCAUGAAGGUUUAAGAAAAAGCCUGCUGUAAUCCUCCUCAUGUGUAAGGUGUAUAAGAAUGUGUGUUGUGUCAAUCANNN
Molecule: long non-coding RNA, 3591 nt
Filed under: Olea europaea (common olive)
Lineage: Eukaryota; Viridiplantae; Streptophyta; Magnoliopsida; Lamiales; Oleaceae
Description: long non-coding RNA (OEUR_LNC015621)
Source: RNAcentral